Non-coding RNA from Pelecanus crispus (Dalmatian pelican), 586 nucleotides. Lineage: Eukaryota; Metazoa; Chordata; Aves; Pelecaniformes; Pelecanidae. The record is from RefSeq and is a predicted model, not a curated record.
CCUAAUAAGAGACGAGAUGGGCCAGGGCGACGAGAGCGACCGCAUUGUGAUCAACGUGGGAGGGACUAGGCACCAGACUUACCGCAGCACCCUACGCACCCUGCCCGGCACUCGGCUGGCCUGGAUCGCCGAACCCGAUGCCCACAGCCACUUCGACUAUGACCCCCGCACGGAUGAGUUUUUCUUUGACCGGCACCCGGGCGUCUUUGCCCACAUCCUGAAUUACUACCGCACCGGCAAGCUGCACUGCCCCGCGGACGUCUGUGGGCCCCUCUAUGAGGAGGAGCUGGCCUUCUGGGGCAUCGAUGAGACCGAUGUGGAGCCCUGCUGUUGGAUGACCUACCGGCAGCACCGCGACGCCGAAGAGGCUCUGGACAGCUUUGGUGGGGCGCCCCUGGAUAGCAGUGCUGAGGACGGAGACAUAGAUGGCACCGGAGACUCUGGUGAUGGGGAAGAGGAGCUGGAGAUGACAAAACGCCUAGCACUUAGUGACUCCCCAGAUGGCAGGUCUGGGGGCUUCUGGAGACGGUGGCAGCCCCGCAUCUGGGCACUCUUUGAGGAUCCCUACUCCUCCAGAUAUGCAAGG